RNAcentral lists this ribosomal RNA (163 nucleotides) under Festuca humilior. Its description in RNAcentral is "5.8S ribosomal RNA". It matches the Rfam family "5.8S ribosomal RNA". From Rfam's summary of the family: 5.8S ribosomal RNA (5.8S rRNA) is a component of the large subunit of the eukaryotic ribosome. It is transcribed by RNA polymerase I as part of the 45S precursor that also contains 18S and 28S rRNA. The record is from RNAcentral. Lineage: Eukaryota; Viridiplantae; Streptophyta; Magnoliopsida; Poales; Poaceae.
CACACGACUCUCGGCAACGGAUAUCUCGGCUCUCGCAUCGAUGAAGAACGUAGCGAAAUGCGAUACCUGGUGUGAAUUGCAGAAUCCCGCGAACCAUCGAGUCUUUGAACGCAAGUUGCGCCCGAGGCCUUUUGGCCGAGGGCACGCCUGCCUGGGCGUCACG